Non-coding RNA from Schistosoma mansoni, 78 nucleotides. Lineage: Eukaryota; Metazoa; Platyhelminthes; Trematoda; Strigeidida; Schistosomatidae. The record is from Rfam.
AGUCUUCUGAACCUGUGCUGAAAUUUUGUCAGAUAUCAGACUGUUAAUAAUGAUGAGAAUUCCAAGAUAAAUGAAACA